Long non-coding RNA from Cydia strobilella, 167 nucleotides. RefSeq lists it as uncharacterized. The transcript is spliced from 2 exons. The record is from RefSeq and is a predicted model, not a curated record. Lineage: Eukaryota; Metazoa; Arthropoda; Insecta; Lepidoptera; Tortricidae.
AUCCAUUUUUUUUAUACUACGACGGUGGCAAACAAGCAUACGGCCCGCCUGAUGUUAAGCACUCUGGCAAGCUUACUCACCGGCAGGAACACAACACUAUGAGUAGGGUCUAGUAUUAUUUGGCUGCGGUUUUCUGUAAGGUGGAGGUACUUCCCCAGUUGGGCUCU